This 250-nucleotide ribosomal RNA is filed under the name uncultured bacterium. RNAcentral's name for it is "partial 16S ribosomal RNA". It matches the Rfam family "Bacterial small subunit ribosomal RNA", at positions 779 to 1027 of the family's 1533-position model. The record is from RNAcentral.
UAGAUACCCUGGUAGUCCACCCCGUAAACGUUGGGAACUAGUUGUGGGGUCCAUUCCACGGAUUCCGUGACGCAGCUAACGCAUUAAGUUCCCCGCCUGGGGAGUACGGCCGCAAGGCUAAAACUCAAAGGAAUUGACGGGGACCCGCACAAGCGGCGGAGCAUGCGGAUUAAUUCGAUGCAACGCGAAGAACCUUACCAAGGCUUGACAUACACCAGAACGGGCCAGAAAUGGUCAACUCUUUGGACAC